CGUAACACGUAUGUAACCUACCUUAAUCAGGGGGAUAGCCUCUCGAAAGAGAGAUUAAGACCGCAUAACAUCAUGGAGUAGCAUUACUUUAUGAUCAAAUAUUUAUAGGAUUAAGAUGGGCAUGCGGAACAUUAGCUAGUUGGUAAGGUAACGGCUUACCAAGGCUACGAUGUUUAGGGGAUCUGAGAGGAUGACCCCCCACACUGGUACUGAGACACGGACCAG
This 225-nucleotide ribosomal RNA is filed under the name uncultured bacterium. RNAcentral's name for it is "partial 16S ribosomal RNA". It matches the Rfam family "Bacterial small subunit ribosomal RNA", at positions 109 to 334 of the family's 1533-position model. The record is from RNAcentral.